This is a long non-coding RNA of Xiphophorus couchianus (Monterrey platyfish), 225 nucleotides long. RefSeq lists it as uncharacterized. Lineage: Eukaryota; Metazoa; Chordata; Actinopteri; Cyprinodontiformes; Poeciliidae. The record is from RefSeq and is a predicted model, not a curated record. The transcript has 3 exons.
CGGAGGAAUUUGAUUGGUCACCAUCAGCGUCGAUCAAUAAAAACGCCCCGCCCUAUUUGUAGCUGGUCAGCAAAGGAUGGAUUGUUAUGUACCACUGUGUAACAGCUGUGUAUGGCCCAAAGAGCUGCACGACGCUCUGGAGCCACAGACCAUUGACUUUCCAGGAAUUUUAACAAACCAGCUGGGUUGCUGUGGACAUCAGGACUCAUAGCUUUGCACAGGUAG